This 376-nucleotide ribosomal RNA is filed under the name Panulirus ornatus. RNAcentral's name for it is "partial 12S ribosomal RNA". Lineage: Eukaryota; Metazoa; Arthropoda; Malacostraca; Decapoda; Palinuridae. The record is from RNAcentral.
AGGAGCAAGAUCGCUCUUUAGACAAUGAUGAGUUUGUAACAACUAAAUUUUAAUUACAACAUUCAAAGAACCUCGGCGGUACUUUAGUCUAGUUGGAGGAACCUGUUUUAUAAACGAUAAUACCACCGUAGAAAUCUUUCUUGUUCUUCGUAAAGUCUAGUAUACCUUCAUUACAGAUAAUUUUUAUUGAUUAAUUAUUGAAAUUGGUUCUUAACCAGAGUAAAUUAGAUCAAGGUGCUGCAAAUGGACCAAGUAAAAAUGGGUUACAAUGGUUUUUGACGUUAAGCUGGAUUAUAUUCGAGGAUGAGUAUAUGAAGAUGUGCAUUCAGUUGUAAUUCUAACUAUACUAAGGUAAAACUAUGAUUAGUACCCUCUA